This 490-nucleotide ribosomal RNA is filed under the name uncultured bacterium. RNAcentral's name for it is "partial 16S ribosomal RNA". It matches the Rfam family "Bacterial small subunit ribosomal RNA", at positions 30 to 507 of the family's 1533-position model. The record is from RNAcentral.
AUUGAACGCUGGCGGCAGGCUUAACACAUGCAAGUCGAGCGGUAGCACAAGAGAGCUUGCUCUCUGGGUGACGAGCGGCGGACGGGUGAGUAAUGUCUGGGAAACUGCCUGAUGGAGGGGGAUAACUACUGGAAACGGUAGCUAAUACCGCAUAACGUCGCAAGACCAAAGAGGGGGACCUUCGGGCCUCUUGCCAUCAGAUGUGCCCAGAUGGGAUUAGCUAGUAGGUGGGGUAAUGGCUCACCUAGGCGACGAUCCCUAGCUGGUCUGAGAGGAUGACCAGCCACACUGGAACUGAGACACGGUCCAGACUCCUACGGGAGGCAGCAGUGGGGAAUAUUGCACAAUGGGCGCAAGCCUGAUGCAGCCAUGCCGCGUGUGUGAAGAAGGCCUUCGGGUUGUAAAGCACUUUCAGCGAGGAGGAAGGUGGUGAACUUAAUACGUUCAUCAAUUGACGCUACUCGCAGAAGAAGCACCGGCUAACUCCGUG